GGCAAAACGACACGGGAGCAGGUCAG
This 26-nucleotide non-coding RNA is filed under the name Mus musculus (house mouse). Lineage: Eukaryota; Metazoa; Chordata; Mammalia; Rodentia; Muridae. The record is from RNAcentral.